GGAAAAGAAACUAACGAGGAUUCCCCUAGUAACUGCGAGUGAAGCGGGAAAAGCUCAAAUUUAAAAUCUGGCGGUUUUUCUGGCCGUCCGAGUUGUAGUCUGGAGAAGUGCUUUCCGCGCUGGAACCGUGUACAAGUCUCUUGGAACAGAGCGUCAUAGAGGGUGAGAAUCCCGUCUUUGACACGGACUAACUAGUGCUUUGUGAUGUGCUCUCAAAGAGUCGAGUUGUUUGGGAAUGCAGCUCAAAAUGGGUGGUAAAUUCCAUCUAAAGCUAAAUAUUGGCGAGAGACCGAUAGCGAACAAGUACCGUGAGGGAAAGAUGAAAAGCACUUUGGAAAGAGAGUUAAACAGUACGUGAAAUUGCUGAAAGGGAAACGCUUGAAGUCAGUCGUGUUGGCCAGAACUCAGCCUUGCUUUUUCUGCUUGGUGCAUUUUCUGGUUGAUGGGCCAGCAUCGAUUUUAAUUGCUGGAGAAAGGCUUGAGGGAAUGUGGCACCCUCGGGUGUGUUAUAGCCCUUAGUCACAUACAGUGGUUGGGAUCGAGGACCGCAGCACGCCUUUAUGGCCGGGGUUCGCCCACGUYGUGUGCUUAGGAYGCUGGCAUAAUGGCUUUAAACGACCCGUCUUGAAACACGGACCAAGGAGUCUAACAUGCCUGCGAGUGUUUGGGUGGAAAACCCGAGUGCAUAAUUAAAGUGAAAGUCGAGAUCCUUGUCAUGGGGAGCAUCGAUGCCCGGACUCAAGCCUUGGCGAGGGCUCCGCGGUAGAGCAUGUAUGUUGGGACCCGAAAGAUGGUGAACUAUGCCUGAAUAGGGUGAAGCCAGAGGAAACUCUGGUGGAGGCUCGUAGCGAUUCUGACGUGCAAAUCGAUCGUCAAAUUUGGGUAUAGGGGCGAAAGACUAAUCGAACC
RNAcentral lists this ribosomal RNA (909 nucleotides) under Fomitopsis pulvina. RNAcentral describes it as "Buglossoporus pulvinus partial large subunit ribosomal RNA". Lineage: Eukaryota; Fungi; Basidiomycota; Agaricomycetes; Polyporales; Fomitopsidaceae. The record is from RNAcentral.